AUCUAUCUGAAGAGUCCCAAAUAAGACGAGAUGCUCGACCUGGAU
This 45-nucleotide non-coding RNA is filed under the name Trichobilharzia regenti. The record is from RNAcentral. Lineage: Eukaryota; Metazoa; Platyhelminthes; Trematoda; Strigeidida; Schistosomatidae.